UCCUAGCUGUAAACGAUGCUCGCUAGGUGUCAGGCACGGUGCGUCCGUGUUUGGUGCCGUAGGGAAGCCGAGAAGCGAGCCACCUGGGAAGUACGAUCGCAAGGCUGAAACUUAAAGGAAUUGGCGGGGGAGCACUACAACGGGUGGAGCCUGCGGUUCAAUUGGAUUCAACGCCGGAAAGCUUACCGGGUCAGACAGCAUUAUGAAGGUCAGGCUAAAGACCUUACCGAAUUCGCUGAGAGGAGGUGCAUGGCCGUCGUCAGUUCGUAUCGUGAGACAUCCUGUUAAGUCAGGCAACGA
RNAcentral lists this ribosomal RNA (300 nucleotides) under uncultured bacterium. Its description in RNAcentral is "bacterial SSU rRNA". It matches the Rfam family "Archaeal small subunit ribosomal RNA", at positions 745 to 1044 of the family's 1478-position model. The record is from RNAcentral.